This 262-nucleotide ribosomal RNA is filed under the name uncultured bacterium. Its description in RNAcentral is "partial 16S ribosomal RNA". It matches the Rfam family "Bacterial small subunit ribosomal RNA", at positions 15 to 272 of the family's 1533-position model. The record is from RNAcentral.
GAUCCUGGCUCAGGAUGAACGCUAGCUACAGGCUUAACACAUGCAAGUCGAGGGGCAGCAUGACCUAGCAAUAGGUUGAUGGCGACCGGCGCACGGGUGAGUAACACGUAUCCAACCUACCGAUUAUUCCGGGAUAGCCUUUCGAAAGAAAGAUUAAAUACCGGAUAGUAUAACGAGAAGGCAUCUUUUUGUUAUUAAAGAAUUUCGAUAACCGAUGGGGAUGCGUUCCAUUAGUUUGUUGGCGGGGUAACGGCCCACCAAG